AAAUUGAAGAGUUUGAUCAUGGCUCAGAUUGAACGCUGGCGGCAGGCCUAACACAUGCAAGUCGAGCGGUAGCACAGAGAGCUUGCUCUCGGGUGACGAGCGGCGGACGGGUGAGUAAUGUCUGGGAAACUGCCUGAUGGAGGGGGAUAACUACUGGAAACGGUAGCUAAUACCGCAUAAUGUCGAAAGACCAAAGUGGGGGACCUUCGGGCCUCAUGCCAUCAGAUGUGCCCAGAUGGGAUUAGCUAGUAGGUGGGGUAACGGCUCACCUAGGCGACGAUCCCUAGCUGGUCUGAGAGGAUGACCAGCCACACUGGAACUGAGACACGGUCCAGACUCCUACGGGAGGCAGCAGUGGGGAAUAUUGCACAAUGGGCGCAAGCCUGAUGCAGCCAUGCCGCGUGUGUGAAGAAGGCCUUCGGGUUGUAAAGCACUUUCAGCGGGGAGGAAGGCGGUGAGGUUAAUAACCUCAUCGAUUGACGUUACCCGCAGAAGAAGCACCGGCUAACUCCGUGCCAGCAGCCGCGGUAAUACGGAGGGUGCAAGCGUUAAUCGGAAUUACUGGGCGUAAAGCGCACGCAGGCGGUCUGUCAAGUCGGAUGUGAAAUCCCCGGGCUUAACCUGGGAACUGCAUUCGAAACUGGCAGGCUAGAGUCUUGUAGAGGGGGGUAGAAUUCCAGGUGUAGCGGUGAAAUGCGUAGAGAUCUGGAGGAAUACCGGUGGCGAAGGCGGCCCCCUGGACAAAGACUGACGCUCAGGUGCGAAAGCGUGGGGAGCAAACAGGAUUAGAUACCCUGGUAGUCCACGCCGUAAACGAUGUCGAUUUGGAGGUUGUGCCCUUGAGGCGUGGCUUCCGGAGCUAACGCGUUAAAUCGACCGCCUGGGGAGUACGGCCGCAAGGUUAAAACUCAAAUGAAUUGACGGGGGCCCGCACAAGCGGUGGAGCAUGUGGUUUAAUUCGAUGCAACGCGAAGAACCUUACCUGGUCUUGACAUCCACAGAACUUAGCAGAGAUGCUUUGGUGCCUUCGGGAACUGUGAGACAGGUGCUGCAUGGCUGUCGUCAGCUCGUGUUGUGAAAUGUUGGGUUAAGUCCCGCAACGAGCGCAACCCUUAUCCUUUGUUGCCAGCGGUUAGGCCGGGAACUCAAAGGAGACUGCCAGUGAUAAACUGGAGGAAGGUGGGGAUGACGUCAAGUCAUCAUGGCCCUUACGACCAGGGCUACACACGUGCUACAAUGGCAUAUACAAAGAGAAGCGACCUCGCGAGAGCAAGCGGACCUCAUAAAGUAUGUCGUAGUCCGGAUUGGAGUCUGCAACUCGACUCCAUGAAGUCGGAAUCGCUAGUAAUCGUAGAUCAGAAUGCUACGGUGAAUACGUUCCCGGGCCUUGUACACACCGCCCGUCACACCAUGGGAGUGGGUUGCAAAAGAAGUAGGUAGCUUAACCUUCGGGAGGGCGCUUACCACUUUGUGAUUCAUGACUGGGGUGAAGUCGUAACAAGGUAACCGUAGGGGAACCUGCGGUUGGAUCACCUCCUUA
This 1540-nucleotide ribosomal RNA is filed under the name Klebsiella pneumoniae. RNAcentral describes it as "bacterial SSU rRNA". It matches the Rfam family "Bacterial small subunit ribosomal RNA". The record is from RNAcentral. Lineage: Bacteria; Pseudomonadati; Pseudomonadota; Gammaproteobacteria; Enterobacterales; Enterobacteriaceae.